RNAcentral lists this ribosomal RNA (490 nucleotides) under uncultured bacterium. Its description in RNAcentral is "partial 16S ribosomal RNA". It matches the Rfam family "Bacterial small subunit ribosomal RNA", at positions 30 to 507 of the family's 1533-position model. The record is from RNAcentral.
AUUGAACGCUGGCGGCAGGCCUAACACAUGCAAGUCGAACGGUAACAGGAAACAGCUUGCUGUUUCGCUGACGAGUGGCGGACGGGUGAGUAAUGUCUGGGAAACUGCCUGAUGGAGGGGGAUAACUACUGGAAACGGUAGCUAAUACCGCAUAACGUCGCAAGACCAAAGAGGGGGACCUUCGGGCCUCUUGCCAUCGUAUGUGCCCAGAUGGGAUUAGCUAGUAGGUGGGGUAACGGCUCACCUAGGCGACGAUCCCUAGCUGGUCUGAGAGGAUGACCAGCCACACUGGAACUGAGACACGGUCCAGACUCCUACGGGAGGCAGCAGUGGGGAAUAUUGCACAAUGGGCGCAAGCCUGAUGCAGCCAUGCCGCGUGUAUGAAGAAGGCCUUCGGGUUGUAAAGUACUUUCAGCGGGGAGGAAGGGAGUAAAGUUAAUACCUUUACUCAUUGACGUUACCCGCAGAAGAAGCACCGGCUAACUCCGUG